Molecule: ribosomal RNA, 885 nt
Filed under: uncultured bacterium
Lineage: Bacteria
Description: bacterial SSU rRNA
Rfam family: Bacterial small subunit ribosomal RNA
Source: RNAcentral
GGAUUAGGCAUGCAAGUCGGACGGUAGGGCUUUAUCGUAAGAUAGAGUUUGAGAGUGGCGAACGGGUGAGUAACACGUAGGAAUCUACCCUUAAGACGGGGACAACCCAGGGAAACUUGGGCUAAUACCGGAUGAGAGUGCGAGAGAUUGCAUUUAAAAGGAUGGCGAAAGUUGUCGCUUAGGGAUGAGCCUGCGGUCUAUUAGUUAGUUGGUGAGGUAAGAGCUCACCAAGGCGAUGAUAGAUAGGCGGCCUUAACGGGUGGUCGCCCACACUGGGAUUGAGAUACGGCCCAGACUCCUACGGGAGGCAGCAGUCGAGAAUAGUCUACAAUGGCCGGAAGGCUGAUAGUGCGACGCCGCGUGAACGAGGGAGCCCUUCGGGGUGUAAAGUUCUUUUCUAUACGAGCAGUGCUAUAUAUAUGGAUAGUAUAUAUAGAGGGAUAGUAGUAUAGGAAUAAGCAACGGCUAACUCCGUGCCAGCAGCCGCGGUAACAUGGGGGUUGCGAGCGUUGUCCGGAAUUACUAGGCGUAAAGGGCAGGUAGGCGGAUCUACGAGUUUUUUGUUAAAGGCUACGGCUCAACUGUAGUAGAGCAGGAGAUACUGUAGGUCUGGAAUGCGGUAGGGGAAGACAGAAUUCCUGGUGUAGCGGUGGAAUGCGCAGAGAUCAGGAGGAAUACCGAAGGCGAAGGCAGUCUUCUAGGCCGUAAUUGACGCUUAACUGCGAAGGUGUGGGGAUCAAACAGGAUUAGAUACCCUGGUAGUCCACACAGUAAACGAUAAUCACUAGAUGUCGGGUUCUAGAUGGAUUCGGUGUCGGAGCCAACGCGAUAAGUGAUUCGCCUGGGGAGUACGAUCGCAAGGUUGAAACUCAAAGGAAUUGACGG